GAAUCAGCAUUUAGCGUUGGAGGACGGGUGAUUAGUCCUUACAGAAACCGUCUUCUUCCAAAAAAUGUUCAAGCACUGCUUUGCACUCGAAACUGGUUAAGAGGUUUUGCUGAAUUUGAAGGUGAUGUUGAAGAUUAUUUUGAUGAAGACAACUUAGACAAGGAUCCAACAACCACAGCAAGUAGUUCUGCAAUAUGAGGUAGCAACUAGCAUCCAUAAGAAGUCAUCCACCAGGUUCUUCAAACAGUGGAGAUCUAUUUCAGAAGGCUACCUUGAUCUUAUGUGAUGAUCUAUAUGAAAUGUCUUGGGUGAUUUUGAGUCUGUUUCUUUGAGCUGAUACUAUGUUUCUGAGUCUGUUUGAUACUAUGUUUCUGAGUCUGUUUCUUUAAGAUGAUACUAUGUUUCUGAAUCUG
Molecule: long non-coding RNA, 413 nt
Organism: Brassica oleracea var. oleracea
Lineage: Eukaryota; Viridiplantae; Streptophyta; Magnoliopsida; Brassicales; Brassicaceae
Exons: 3
Source: RefSeq, a predicted model, not a curated record